UUAUAAAUCACAUAAGACUACUCUUUUACUAAUAAGAUCAAUAGAUCCCAUCUAGGUGUACAUCCUAUUCCUACAAUGAACCUAUUGUAGCCAACAUACACCUUAAGACUCCAUAUGGCUAGAAGAUCAAGUUAUGAUGUAGUCAAACUACAGCAAUCUCACUAUGAAUAGUCGAGACACUGUAGGUCUAAGAACUACUUACACAACUACAGCAUCGAGAAUGUCACUGAUAAGUGAGUGACAUCCAAAUGACUUCUCGUAUUGAUCACGCUCAGUACUGUUGUUCUCUAACAACCACCUACAC
This 304-nucleotide long non-coding RNA is filed under the name Elaeis guineensis (African oil palm). Its description in RNAcentral is "long non-coding RNA (EGUI_LNC020146)". The record is from RNAcentral. Lineage: Eukaryota; Viridiplantae; Streptophyta; Magnoliopsida; Arecales; Arecaceae.